AGUGAACGCUGGCGGUAGGCCUAACACAUGCAAGUCGAACGGCAGCACAGUAAGAGCUUGCUCUUACGGGUGGCGAGUGGCGGACGGGUGAGGAAUACAUCGGAAUCUACUUUUUCGUGGGGGAUAACGUGGGGAAACUUACGCUAAUACCGCAUACGACCUACGGGUGAAAGCAGGGGAUCUUCGGACCUUGCGCGAUUGAAUGAGCCGAUGUCGGAUUAGCUAGUUGGCGGGGUAAAAGCCCACCAAGGCGACGAUCCGUAGCUGGUCUGAGAGGAUGAUCAGCCACACUGGAACUGAGACACGGUCCAGACUCCUACGGGAGGCAGCAGUGGGGAAUAUUGGACAAUGGGCGCAAGCCUGAUCCAGCCAUACCGCGUGGGUGAAGAAGGCCUUCGGGUUGUAAAGCCCUUUUGUUGGGAAAGAAAAGCAGCAGGUUAAUACCCCGCUGUUCUGACGGUACCCAAAGAAUAAGCACCGGCUAACUUCGUG
Molecule: ribosomal RNA, 492 nt
Filed under: uncultured bacterium
Lineage: Bacteria
Description: partial 16S ribosomal RNA
Rfam family: Bacterial small subunit ribosomal RNA
Source: RNAcentral